UGAGACAAUGGUCAUUCAGGUUUUAUUUAUGACAACUUCUUAGAACACACACACACAUCCAGUCUAGGAACAGAAAUGUACAGCAUGGGGCUUAAAUAACUUUCAUACACUAUGUACAGUCAUCGGCAGAGGUACAAAACAUAUAUACACUUGUGCUAGCCACACAGAGGAGAGCACGGGCCAGAGGACCCUGCAGCUUGGGCAGGAGGCGAUCGCCAGAAGAGAGCUGGUGGGCAGGGCAGGGCAGGGCCCUGAUUCACUUCAGGGGUCCUCUCUGACCCUCGGCUCUUCAUGGAGCAGUUCCGCUUCCCUGCAAGGCCCUCGGGACAUGGGUUCAAAGGAUUGGACUGGGGUGUGGUGGGGGGCCAGGGGCUCAUUUGAGUGCUGGAGAUGGGCAGGGGCUGGGGGAUAGAACAAAGAUGCCAUGGAAGAAACAAUUUUCCCUGUAGAGUCUGUCCUUGCACAUAGGAGGGCAGUGAAGGAUCUGGGAGCCAGGAGAGGAGGGCCAGGAGGCUGUGCCAAGCCAAGAGAGCGGCGAGCGCUUUCCUGUUUGGGAUGGCAAAGGGACAGAAGCCACAGGUGUGGGCCGCUGGGUGGGAAGAACUCUCCGCUCUCGCAGGGCAGGCCCGCCCACACAAACACGACAGCGAACAUGGCGGGCAUAGGCGGUGGCGGAACAAGCCGCGGGGAGUGCCUGCACCCUGCCCGGACUGCAUCAGAGGACACCCCGUGAGCCGAGAUGCUCUGUGACGGAGGAGAGCGGUGCAUCUCUGAUUUCACAGCGGCCGCCUGCCUGUGUCUCCACCACACUGGGUGGCGUGAGAAAGUUCCAGCAACUCCUUGCGGUAGUUUUGUGCUUUAAACCGCCCUCUGCCCAAGCCACACCGCCCCAGGCGGACAGCAGGGUGAAAGGUCCCUACGUGGAGGCUGUGGCGGGGGUGGGCGGGCAGGGAGAGCACUCCCAGACCCACAGACGUCCCUCCCCGAGGGGCUGGAGGCGGCACCCUGCCCACCUCAAAGGCUUAGAUGUGCCCGCCUCUGCCUCGUAGCCUCGCCUCCCUCCUGGCAGCCUCCAGAGGCCACGCCAGGUGGUCCCUUGGGGAAUUGUGGCUGCCGUGGAGGAGUCAGUCUCUCAGACGGAAGCAAACACUGAACUGAGGUAAUACUGGGAACAGAGCCUGGCACAGGGCUGUGCCGAGGAGGCCCCUGGGCCGUGGGGAUGGAAGACAGGCUCCAUCCAGGGAGCUCGCCAGUCAGCUUCCCAAGCAUGCACGGGGCUCG
This 1281-nucleotide long non-coding RNA is filed under the name Equus caballus (horse). RNAcentral's name for it is "lncRNA (ENSECAG00000053593.1)". The record is from RNAcentral. Lineage: Eukaryota; Metazoa; Chordata; Mammalia; Perissodactyla; Equidae.